AGAACGGAACUAGCUUGCUAGUUUGUCAGCUAAGUGGCGCACGGGUGAGUAAUAUAUAGUUAAUCUGCCCCAAAGAAGAGAAUAAUUGUUGGAAACGACUUGUAAUGCUCUAUAUGCCUUUAAGACAUAAGUCUGCAAGGGAAAUAUUUAUAGCUUUGGGAUGAGACUGUACGGUAUCAGCUUGUUGGUGAGGUAAUGGCUCACCAAGGCUAUGACAUCUAACUGGUUUGAGAGGAUGAUCAGUCACACUGGAACUGAGACACGGUCCAGACUCCUACGGGAGGCAGCAGUGGGGAAUAUUGCACAAUGGACGAAAGUCUGAUGCAGCAACGCCGCGUGGAGGAUGACACAUUUCGGUGCGUAAACUCCUUUUAUAUGAGAAGAUAAUGACGGUAUCAUAUGAAUAAGCACCGGCUAACUUCGUGCCAGCAGCCGCGGUAAUACGAGGGGUGCAAGCGUUACUCGGAAUCACUGGGCGUAAAGAGCAUGUAGGCGGGUUUGUAAGUUGGAAGUGAAAUCCUAUGGCUCAACCAUAGAACUGCUUCCAAAACUGCUUACCUAGAGUAUGGGAGAGGUAGAUGGAAUUUCUGGUGUAGGGGUAAAAUCCGUAGAGAUCAGAAGGAAUACCGAUUGCGAAGGCGAUCUACUGGAACAUUACUGACGCUAAGAUGCGAAAGCGUGGGGAGCAAACAGGAUUAGAUACCCUGGUAGUCCACGCCCUAAACGAA
RNAcentral lists this ribosomal RNA (728 nucleotides) under uncultured bacterium. RNAcentral describes it as "bacterial SSU rRNA". It matches the Rfam family "Bacterial small subunit ribosomal RNA", at positions 63 to 810 of the family's 1533-position model. The record is from RNAcentral.